GCCGCGUGUGUGAAGAAGGCCUUCGGGUUGUAAAGCACUUUCAGUUGUGAGGAAAGGUGAGUAGUUAAUACCUGCUUGCUGUGACGUUAACAACAGAAGAAGCACCGGCUAACUCCGUGCCAGCAGCCGCGGUAAUACGGAGGGUGCAAGCGUUAAUCGGAAUUACUGGGCGUAAAGCGCACGCAGGCGGUCUGUUAAGCUAGAUGUGAAAGCCCCGCGCUCAACGUGGGAUGGUCAUUUAGAACUGGCAGACUAGAGUUUUGGAGAGGAGAGUGGAAUUCCAGGUGUAGCGGUGAAAUGCGUAGAUAUCUGGAGGAACAUCAGUGGCGAAGGCGACUCUCUGGUCAAUAACUGACGCUCAUGUGCGAAAGUGUGGGUAGCGAACGGGAUUAGAUACCCCGGUAGUCCACACCGUAAACGCUGUCUACUAACUGUUUGUGGAUUUA
This 446-nucleotide ribosomal RNA is filed under the name Arctic sea ice bacterium AWS-7M2. RNAcentral's name for it is "bacterial SSU rRNA". It matches the Rfam family "Bacterial small subunit ribosomal RNA", at positions 396 to 834 of the family's 1533-position model. Lineage: Bacteria; Pseudomonadati; Pseudomonadota; Gammaproteobacteria. The record is from RNAcentral.